CUACGGGUCGCUCCAGUCGAGAAUCUUCGGCAAUGGGCGAAAGCCUGACCGAGCGAUGCCGCGUGCGGGAUGAAGGCCCUCGGGUUGUAAACCGCUGUCAACGAGGAGGAAGUGCAAGGGGGUUCUCCCUCUUGUUUGACCUAUUCGAGGAGGAAGUACGGGCUAAGUUCGUGCCAGCAGCCGCGGUAAGACGAACCGUACAAACGUUAUUGGGAAUUAUUGGGCUUAAAGGGUGCGUAGGCUGCGCGGACAGGUGGGUGUGAAAGCCCUCGGCUCAACCGAGGAAUUGCGCCCAAUACUACCGGGCUCGAGGGAGACAGAGGUGAGCGGAACUCAAGGUGGAGCGGUGAAAUGCGUUGAUAUCUUGAGGAACACCGGUGGCGAAAGCGGCUCACUGGGUCUCUUCUGACGCUGAGGCACGAAAGCCAAGGUAGCAAACGGGAUUAGAUACCCUGGUAGUC
RNAcentral lists this ribosomal RNA (461 nucleotides) under uncultured bacterium. Its description in RNAcentral is "partial 16S ribosomal RNA". It matches the Rfam family "Bacterial small subunit ribosomal RNA", at positions 339 to 795 of the family's 1533-position model. The record is from RNAcentral.